This 279-nucleotide unclassified non-coding RNA is filed under the name Hevea brasiliensis (rubber tree). The record is from RNAcentral. Lineage: Eukaryota; Viridiplantae; Streptophyta; Magnoliopsida; Malpighiales; Euphorbiaceae.
AUUAAAAUUUCAUUGACUUGACCAGAUUUGGUUACCAACUCUACCUCUAGUAUGCUAGGAAAGUUCUUUGGCAAAUCAUAAAUACAAGACCAGAAAAUUCAAAGCACUAUGUGGGAAAAGAUGAUGGCUAAUUCCACAGAAACAAGUUAGAGUUUGAGAUUACUAUUAAUGAUGUGAUGAUGACUAAUUCCACAGAAACAAGUGGACGUUGGAGUUUGAGAUUAAUAUUAAUGAUGUUUAAUUAAUUAACCUUAGUAUUCUUGCAAAAGUCGAGGUCAC